This 1496-nucleotide long non-coding RNA is filed under the name Homo sapiens (human). RNAcentral's name for it is "non-protein coding LINC00881:3". The record is from RNAcentral. Lineage: Eukaryota; Metazoa; Chordata; Mammalia; Primates; Hominidae.
GUUUAGCACAGUGCCUGCGCAUGGAAGGCUCUCAAAUAAAUAUUCGUGCAAUGUUUUGAGAAGUAGAAAGUGCUAGGCACGUAGGCGUUCAGGAGACAGUCACGGUACUCGUUUCCAGACAGAAGUCAUGAGGAACAAGAGGGAAGGUGCUUUCCCGUGUGCAGCGCUUGGGGAGACUCACACAGACAGAGGAUCUGGCAUGACAGGGAAAGGAGGAAAUGGCUUCUGUUAAUCUCUCCUUCAGCUUCUCCCGCCCUUCCCAUGCACUCUUCCUGUUUCCCUUUCCAGUUCUCACGGUGACUCAAGGAACAACGUGUGAAAUGAAAGACCUCAGGUGCUGUAUUGGCUCUUGACAGCUCUUCAGAAGAAAAUACCUCCUGCCUGUUCUGUUCAGUCCUGGUGCAGGUGAGUCACUGCCUUGCCAGCCAGGCAAGUAUUUUAAGAAACAAAAUCUAAGCCAGAACCAGCAGAGAAAUACGAGGGAUGGAUUAGCGCCAUUAGCUUUGAUGGUGUCUUGUUGUCAUGGUGCUAGGAAAAUCACUAUCAUUUACAGUCCCACUCACCAGCUGUUUUGCUAGAAUUUUUGACAUGAGAGGCUGGUGGCCACCCUAACACAGGCGUGGGACAUGGGUGUGCACACACACGUACACCUGCAGCAGACACCCACUCUAGAGGGCUCACGUUGGUUGUCUGGGACGUGAUUCAAAGGCUGUACCCAUGUGUAUGACAAUCCUGUUUCCCGUACAUCAGCUUCCAGGAAGCCAAAUGACCCACCGGCUUACCCACAUCGCAGGAAGCUUUGGAGCAGAGUCAGUGACUAUGUGAACCUGCCUCAACCUCUGCUCCCUGGUUCAGCAUUUGGCUUGGGAAAAAUGACACUAUUUCCUGUCUCUUAAACAUUAUUUCAAGGCACAGGUCUUCCACCAUUCUGAGAGGCAGGGGGAUCUUUGAGUUCUGCCAGGAGCUGGGGGUUAGGGGUAGGGGAAUCCCGCCCAAGGGAAAUGACUAGAAUCUUUGUCAGGCUGUGGAACACAGGCAUUUCUGGAUAGGUGGCCUCCCCUGUGGCCUCUCCUGGCAUCUACACUGCAAAGUCCCCUGUAUCUACUGAAAGGGGUGAGGGUGGGGGCAUUCAUUGGUACUGGGAGGCAAGCUUUGAGUGGAAAGGAGCUUCUCUCGUGGCCCUCCAGUGAGCCACACUAGAGGAGGCCUCAGAUGCAUGGUGCUCCCUGCUCAGACUCACACUUGCCUGACUCCCUCCUUCGUGCUCUUCCUUCGGCUGCCCUUACCUGGGGGACUACAGUGGCUGUGGGGGUGCAGCGGGGGUUGGGGGGGGCGGCAUACCUCACUACCUGGCUUUUCCCAAGUCCCUUUAAUUAAGCCAAAUCUUUGUAUGAAUGUAAAAUACAAGUAGGCUUUAUCCCUGGGCCCUGUGCUCCUCUGCCCCAGAUUCUGACUCAAGGGCUUGGAGCAGACUUAUUUUUACUAAAAGCCCAAGU